GUGGAUUCGAUACCCUGGUAGUCCACGCCCUAAACGAUGUCAACUGGUUGUCGGGGGAUUGAUUCCCUUGGUAACGAAGCUAACGCGUGAAGUUGACCGCCUGGGGAGUACGGUCGCAAGAUUAAAACUCAAAGGAAUUGACGGGGACCCGCACAAGCGGUGGAUUAUGUGGAUUAAUUCGAUGCAACGCGAAAAACCUUACCUACCCUUGACUUGUAGCGAACCUCGCAGAGAUGUGAGGGUGCCCGAAAGGGAACGCUAACACAGGUGCUGCAUGGUCGUCGCCAACU
This 290-nucleotide ribosomal RNA is filed under the name uncultured bacterium. Its description in RNAcentral is "partial 16S ribosomal RNA". It matches the Rfam family "Bacterial small subunit ribosomal RNA", at positions 773 to 1060 of the family's 1533-position model. The record is from RNAcentral.